Molecule: ribosomal RNA, 466 nt
Filed under: uncultured bacterium
Lineage: Bacteria
Description: partial 16S ribosomal RNA
Rfam family: Bacterial small subunit ribosomal RNA
Source: RNAcentral
GAUGAACGCUGGCGGCGUGCUUAACACAUGCAAGUCGAACGAUGAAGCCCAGCUUGCUGGGUGGAUUAGUGGCGAACGGGUGAGUAACACGUGAGUAACCUGCCCUUAACUCUGGGAUAAGCCUGGGAAACUGGGUCUAAUACCGGAUAGGAGCGUCCAUCGCAUGGAGGGUGUUGGAAAGCUUUAUCGGUUAUGGAUGGACUCGCGGCCUAUCAGCCUGUUGGUGAGGUAAUGGCUCACCAAGGCGACGACGGGUAGCCGGCCUGAGAGGGUGACCGGCCACGCUGGGACUGAUACGCGUCCCAGACUCCUACGGGAGGCAGCAGUGAGGGAUAUUGCACAAUGGGCGCAAGCCUGAUGCAGCGACGCCGCGUGAGGGAUGACGGCCUUCGGGUUGUAGACCUCUUUCAGUAGGGAAGAAGCGAAAGUGACGGUACCUGCAGAAGAAGCACCGGCUAACUACGUG